UACGAAGGGGGCUAGCGUUGUUCGGAAUCACUGGGCGUAAAGCGCACGUAGGCGGAUUUGUCAGUCAGGGGUGAAAUCCCGGGGCUCAACCUCGGAACUGCCCUUGAUACAGCAAAUCUAGAGUCCGGAAGAGGUGGGUGGAAUUCCUAGUGUAGAGGUGAAAUUCGUAGAUAUUAGGAAGAACACCAGUGGCGAAGGCGGCCCACUGGUCCGGUACUGACGAUGAGGUGCGAAAGCGUGGGGAGCAAACAGG
RNAcentral lists this ribosomal RNA (253 nucleotides) under uncultured bacterium. RNAcentral's name for it is "partial 16S ribosomal RNA". It matches the Rfam family "Bacterial small subunit ribosomal RNA", at positions 524 to 776 of the family's 1533-position model. The record is from RNAcentral.